GACGAACGCUGGCGGCGUGCUUAACACAUGCAAGUCGAACGGAAAGGCCCUGCUUUUGUGGGGUGCUCGAGUGGCGAACGGGUGAGUAACACGUGAGUAACCUGCCCUUGACUUUGGGAUAACUUCAGGAAACUGGGGCUAAUACCGGAUAGGAGCUCCUGCUGCAUGGUGGGGGUUGGAAAGUUUCGGCGGUUGGGGAUGGACUCGCGGCUUAUCAGCUUGUUGGUGGGGUAGUGGCUUACCAAGGCUUUGACGGGUAGCCGGCCUGAGAGGGUGACCGGCCACAUUGGGAUUGAGAUGCGGCCCAGACUACUACGGGAGGCGGCGGUGGGGAAUAUUGCACAGUGGGCGGAAGCCUGAUGCAGCAACGCCGCGUGCGGGAUGACGGCAUUCGGGUUGUAACGCGCUUUCGCCUGUGACGAAGCGUGAGUGACGGUAAUGUGUAAAGAAGCACCGGCUAACUACGUG
Molecule: ribosomal RNA, 468 nt
Filed under: uncultured bacterium
Lineage: Bacteria
Description: partial 16S ribosomal RNA
Rfam family: Bacterial small subunit ribosomal RNA
Source: RNAcentral